Molecule: regulatory RNA element, 37 nt
Organism: Flavobacterium branchiophilum FL-15
Lineage: Bacteria; Pseudomonadati; Bacteroidota; Flavobacteriia; Flavobacteriales; Flavobacteriaceae
Rfam family: DUF805b RNA
About the family: Bacteroidetes, Chlorobi (1 example), Proteobacteria.
Source: Rfam
AGAGCGAUACCCGAAAAGCUUAAAAAUAGAGUAGGGA